AGUAAAGUGCCUGAAAAAAAGGAUAAUUUUGAUAGAAUUAAUAAUGUGCCCCACACCUUUACU
This 63-nucleotide transfer RNA is filed under the name Arhopalus unicolor. RNAcentral describes it as "tRNA-Ile". The record is from RNAcentral. Lineage: Eukaryota; Metazoa; Arthropoda; Insecta; Coleoptera; Cerambycidae.